This is a long non-coding RNA of Cynoglossus semilaevis (tongue sole), 2119 nucleotides long. RefSeq lists it as uncharacterized. The record is from RefSeq and is a predicted model, not a curated record. NCBI's taxonomy places the organism in Eukaryota, Metazoa, Chordata, Actinopteri, Pleuronectiformes, Cynoglossidae. The transcript has 4 exons.
UGUAAUUUUGUAAAUGUAUACAUGUCAAUUUGCUUGACCCUGUAAUUUUGUAAAUGUAUACAUGUAAAUUUGCUUGAUGCUGUAAUUUGUAUACAUGUACCUUUGCUUGACCUUGUAAUUUUGUAAAUGUAUACAUGUAAAUUUGCUUGAUGCUGUAAUUUGUAUACAUGUACCUUUGCUUGACCUUGUAAUUUUGUAAAUGUAUACAUGUAAAUUUGCUUGAUGCUGUAAUUUUGUAAAUUUAUACAGGUAAAUUUGCUUGACUUUGUACUUUUGUAAAUGUAUACUGGUAAAUGUUGUGCUUGAGUAUGUAUGUACUUUUGUAAAUUUACAUUUUAUCACUGUACACUAAUGUUAUCACUUUCUGUGCUGUCAGUGUAUGUGAUGUCCACCUCUGGUGUUUAAUGUUUGCAUGAUCCUUGGUGUGAUCACCUUUAUCUGCAUGUUGCAUGAUUUAAUUUAACAUUCAGCUCGUAGAUGUUGGUUUUUCUUUUUUGUGUGCAAUUUUUAACUUUACAAAUCAGGUUUAAAAUCACCAAUUCUGCCAAACUGUGACACCAUUUGAUCAUAAAUGGUCUUUAACAUCAUUAAACAGUUUGGACUUUUAGAGCUGGCUUGUCUCCCUCUGCCAAGUUAAUUUCUACUAAAGACUUGUUUGCCCUUCUGUGGUAUUUAGAUGACGUUGGGAGGCCUCCCAGCAGAGGAAUAAUGUCCUCUGCAAAAUGAAGCGUUUCACUGGAUACAUGCAGGGCUAAGUUGACAAAUUUCUAAACAUGUUUAUGUAAUCUCGUAGGCAUACAGGUUAGGUUGCGCGUUUAGGGUCUUUAGUAGAAACUAUACUUGGCAAAGAGACAACCCAAAACUAAUAAUGAUUAAGUUAAUAUUUAUAACUUUUAAAAACUUAAGUUCUAUGGGCCUAGUUGCAGAAAAUAAAGGGACAGGAGUUCUAAUGCUAAUUCUCAAUUUAUGGUUUUGUUAAAGUAUGUAGUUUAGUCUGUGUCUUAGUUAAACUGAAAUGGAUGACCCUCAGUGUGAUUACCUAUGUACAUGUGAUUGGCAGGACACCUGAGAGAUGGUAUUCACUUGUGUUAAUUUAAUUCACCGGUGUUUAAUCUAGGUUGAUUGUGUAAAAGUGUUCAAUGAUCAGUGUAAGUGGGUGGUGCAGGAACAGGUGGUGUAGGCCUCACCAAGACUGUCCUAAUUGACUGAAUGUGGUAAGAUCAGUCAGUUAAACAGGUAAGAUUUCUUGCCCCUGAUUGGUCGGUGUUGGAUCCAUACAACCUCUGGAAAUGUGGCCUCCUUUGAUCUUCUCAGCCACAGGAUUUCUCCAGGUUUGUUCUUCACAUUGACCAUUGUUAAAUCUGUUCAAGUAAAUCUCCAAACUGACUGAUCUGAUCUGUGUUUCUAGGAUUAUUUGGACCAGAGUAGACCAAGUAUGGUGAAGAUGGAUCCUGGUUAAAGAGUUCUGAGCAAGACACAGGACUUAUGUGAGAAGCAAACUCCCAAUGAAGAGCACCGUUAAAAAAGACAGACCUGCAACUGCAAAACACGGAGAAGCUACAUCCUGGUCUGGUCCAGUCACAACUGCAGUCAAGAUAAUCCAGACCUGCUUCCGUUCUACUGGCUUUGUUAAGGAAUUGGCCCCCAAGGACCCAGUCUCACCACAGCUGAUGGGAGUUUCCAUUCUACUUCCUGCUCAGCUGUAUAAAUAUAUAUUUCUUUGGUUGAUUUUUUUUUUUUUUCUAUAAGGUUGACCAAGUUUUGCUUUUGUUUACAAUCAAUCAGAAUUGAAUGAGCUGGAUUUCUUUUACACUUAACAAGGUAAACAGAGUAGACUCAUAUGGAAAGGUCUUUGUCCUUCCGCUUUUUCUUGGUGCUUAAAGAAAUCUACCCAUGAAUUCUUGCUGAGUGCUGCACAAUGGAAGCAGUUUCCAAAAUCAGACAUGGAUCCAUCUGAUUUUGUGACCUGUUCCAUUCACGGUGCAACAUCAUCCCUCAAAAAUGCUACCAACCAGUCAAUGUGAAUUCCUUUAGAACAGAAUGAAUGAAAAUAUGGUUUAUGAUUAAGUGGAUGUAGUAAUUUUAUCAGUGCCUUGUUUGUUCCUUUUCUUUGGGUUGG